RNAcentral lists this ribosomal RNA (564 nucleotides) under uncultured bacterium. Its description in RNAcentral is "partial 16S ribosomal RNA". It matches the Rfam family "Bacterial small subunit ribosomal RNA", at positions 355 to 909 of the family's 1533-position model. The record is from RNAcentral.
UGGGGAAUUUUGGACAAUGGGCGAAAGCCUGAUCCAGCAAUGCCGCGUGUGUGAAGAAGGCCUUCAGGUUGUAAAGCACUUUUGUCCGGAAAGAAAUGGCUCUGGUUAAUACCUGGGGUCGAUGACGGUACCGGAAGAAUAAGGACCGGCUAACUACGUGCCAGCAGCCGCGGUAAUACGUAGGGUCCAAGCGUUAAUCGGAAUUACUGGGCGUAAAGCGUGCGCAGGCGGUUGUGCAAGACCGAUGUGAAAUCCCCGAGCUUAACUUGGGAAUUGCAUUGGUGACUGCACGGCUAGAGUGUGUCAGAGGGGGGUUAGAAUUCCACGUGUAGCAGUGAAAUGCGUAGAGAUGUGGAGGAAUACCGAUGGCGAAGGCAGCCCCCUGGGAUAACACUGACGCUCAUGCACGAAAGCGUGGGGAGCAAACAGGAUUAGAUACCCCUGGUAGUCCACGCCCUAAACGAUGUCAACUAGUUGUUGGGGAUUCAUUUCCUUAGUAACGUAGCUAACGCGUGAAGUUGACCGCCUGGGGAGUACGGUCGCAAGAUUAAAAGCUCAAAUGAA